This 506-nucleotide ribosomal RNA is filed under the name uncultured bacterium. RNAcentral describes it as "partial 16S ribosomal RNA". It matches the Rfam family "Bacterial small subunit ribosomal RNA", at positions 29 to 523 of the family's 1533-position model. The record is from RNAcentral.
AGUGAACGCUGGCGGUAGGCCUAACACAUGCAAGUCGAACGGCAGCACAGAGGAGCUUGCUCCUUGGGUGGCGAGUGGCGGACGGGUGAGGAAUACAUCGGAAUCUACUCUGUCGUGGGGGAUAACGUAGGGAAACUUACGCUAAUACCGCAUACGACCUACGGGUGAAAGCAGGGGAUCUUCGGACCUUGCGCGAUUGCAUGAGCCGAUGUCGGAUUAGCUAGUUGGCGGGGUAAAGGCCCACCAAGGCGACAAUCCGUAGCUGGUCUGAGAGGAUGAUCAGCCACACUGUAAGUGAGACACGGUCCAGACUCCUACGGGAGGCAGCAGUGGGGAAUAUUGGACAAUGGGCGCAAGCCUGAUCCAGCCACACCGCGUGGGUGAAGAAGGCCUUCGGGUUGUAAAGCCCUUUUGUUGGGAAAGAAAUCCAUCUGGUUAAUACCCGGGUGGGAUGACGGUACCCAAAGAAUAAGCACCGGCUAACUUCGUGCCAGCCGCCGCGGUAA